RNAcentral lists this non-coding RNA (52 nucleotides) under [Clostridium] aminophilum. The record is from RNAcentral. Lineage: Bacteria; Bacillati; Bacillota; Clostridia; Lachnospirales; Lachnospiraceae.
CGCUGAGCAUGCAGAAGUCAGCAGAGGCCAUAGUAGCCGAGAGGUGAAGGGC